GAAAUGCGAUAAGUAAUGUGAAUUGCAGAAUUCAGUGAAUCAUCGAAUCUAUGAACGCACAUUGCGCCCGCCAGUAUUCUGGCGGGCAUGCCUGUUCGAGCGUCAUUACAACCCUCAGGCCCCCGGGCCUGGCGUUGGGGAUCGGCGGAAGCCCCCUGCGGGCACAACGCCGUCCCCCAAAUACAGUGGCGGUCCCGCCGCAGCUUCCAUUGCGUAGUAGCUAACACCUCGCAACUGGAGAGCGGCGCGGCCACGCCGUAAAACACCCAACUUCUGAAUGUUGACCUCGAAUCAGGUAGGAAUACCCGCUUAACUUAAGC
This 320-nucleotide unclassified non-coding RNA is filed under the name plant metagenome. RNAcentral describes it as "partial contains 5.8S ribosomal RNA, internal transcribed spacer 2, and large subunit ribosomal RNA". The stretch from base 1 to 105 matches the Rfam family "5.8S ribosomal RNA", at positions 50 to 154 of the family's 154-position model. The record is from RNAcentral.